CAAUAGCGUAUAUUAAAGUUGUUGCAGUUAAAAAGCUCGUAGUUGAAGAUACGAACGCUUACACUAGAACAAAGUUUCCGGUGUCUGCGUUCACUUUUCGCAAAGACAGCCUGGCCCAUUAGUUUGGGUCUUGUUUGAGUUGCGUCAUUUACUGUGAACAAAUUAGGGUGUUUAAAGCAGGCCUACGUUUGAAUACACUAGCAUGGAAUAAUAAGGUAUGAUCUUGGUCGUAUUUUGUUGGUGACUACCAAGAUAAUGAUUGAUAGAAACUGUUGUGGGUAUUCGUAUGAGCAUGUCAGAGGUGAAAUUCUUGGAUUUUGAUCAGACGAACUACUGCGAAAGUAUUUACCAAGGAUGUUUUCAUUGA
This 367-nucleotide ribosomal RNA is filed under the name uncultured eukaryote. RNAcentral describes it as "partial 18S ribosomal RNA". It matches the Rfam family "Eukaryotic small subunit ribosomal RNA", at positions 592 to 976 of the family's 1831-position model. The record is from RNAcentral.